RNAcentral lists this ribosomal RNA (584 nucleotides) under Staphylococcus aureus. RNAcentral's name for it is "partial 23S ribosomal RNA". It matches the Rfam family "Bacterial large subunit ribosomal RNA", at positions 606 to 1190 of the family's 2925-position model. Lineage: Bacteria; Bacillati; Bacillota; Bacilli; Caryophanales; Staphylococcaceae. The record is from RNAcentral.
UUUUGUAGAAUGAACCGGCGAGUUACGAUUUGAUGCAAGGUUAAGCAGUAAAUGUGGAGCCGUAGCGAAAGCGAGUCUGAAUAGGGCGUUUAGUAUUUGGUCGUAGACCCGAAACCAGGUGAUCUACCCUUGGUCAGGUUGAAGUUCAGGUAACACUGAAUGGAGGACCGAACCGACUUACGUUGAAAAGUGAGCGGAUGAACUGAGGGUAGCGGAGAAAUUCCAAUCGAACCUGGAGAUAGCUGGUUCUCUCCGAAAUAGCUUUAGGGCUAGCCUCAAGUGAUGAUUAUUGGAGGUAGAGCACUGUUUGGACGAGGGGCCCCUCUCGGGUUACCGAAUUCAGACAAACUCCGAAUGCCAAUUAAUUUAACUUGGGAGUCAGAACAUGGGUGAUAAGGUCCGUGUUCGAAAGGGAAACAGCCCAGACCACCAGCUAAGGUCCCAAAAUAUAUGUUAAGUGGAAAAGGAUGUGGCGUUGCCCAGACAACUAGGAUGUUGGCUUAGAAGCAGCCAUCAUUUAAAGAGUGCGUAAUAGCUCACUAGUCGAGUGACACUGCGCCGAAAAUGUACCGGGGCUAAACAUA